CCUACGGGAGGCUGCAGUGGGGAAUAUUGGGCAAUGGGCGCAAGCCUGACCCAGCAACGCCGCGUGAAGGAAGAAGGCUUUCGGGUUGUAAACUUCUUUUGUCAGGGACGAAGCAAGUGACGGUACCUGACGAAUAAGCCACGGCUAACUACGUGCCAGCAGCCGCGGUAAUACGUAGGUGGCAAGCGUUAUCCGGAUUUACUGGGUGUAAAGGGAGCGUAGACGGUGCGCCAAGUCUGGAGUGAAAUGCCGCAGCUUAACUGCGGAACUGCUUUGGAAACUGGCGAACUAGAGUGCGGGGGGGGUAAGCGGAAUUCCUGGUGUAGGAGUGAAAUCCGUAGAUAUUAGAAGGAACACCAAUAGCGUAGGCAGGUUACUGGGACGGUUCUGACACUAAGGCACGAAAGCGUAGGGAGCAAACGGGAUUAGAUACCCCAGUAGUC
Molecule: ribosomal RNA, 443 nt
Filed under: uncultured bacterium
Lineage: Bacteria
Description: partial 16S ribosomal RNA
Rfam family: Bacterial small subunit ribosomal RNA
Source: RNAcentral